RNAcentral lists this ribosomal RNA (441 nucleotides) under uncultured bacterium. Its description in RNAcentral is "partial 16S ribosomal RNA". It matches the Rfam family "Bacterial small subunit ribosomal RNA", at positions 338 to 795 of the family's 1533-position model. The record is from RNAcentral.
CCUACGGGGGGCAGCAGUGGGGGAUAUUGCACAAUGGGGGGAACCCUGAUGCAGCGACGCCGCGUGGGUGAAGGAGUGCUUCGGCAUGUAAAGCCCUAUCGGCAGGGAAGAAGCAAGACGGUACAGGACUAAGAAGCCCCGGCUAACUACGUGCCAGCAGCCGCGGUAAUACGUAGGGGGCGAGCGUUAUCCGGAUUCACUGGGUGUAAAGGGAGCGUAGACGGCCAUGCAAGCCAGGUGUGAAAGCCCGGGGCCCAACCCCGGGACUGCCCUUGGAACUGUGCGGCUAGAGUGCGGGAGGGGCAGGCGGAAUUCCUGGUGUAGCGGUGAAAUGCGUAGAUAUCAGGAGGAACACCGGCGGCGAAGGCGGCCUGCUGGACCGCGACUGACGUUGAGGCUCGAAAGCGUGGGGAGCGAACAGGAUUAGAUACCCCAGUAGUC